Empidonax traillii (willow flycatcher) is the source of this 617-nucleotide long non-coding RNA. RefSeq lists it as uncharacterized. The transcript has 3 exons. The record is from RefSeq and is a predicted model, not a curated record. NCBI's taxonomy places the organism in Eukaryota, Metazoa, Chordata, Aves, Passeriformes, Tyrannidae.
CACUGUGACCCCAUAAGUGACCCCGGGAUGACACUGUGACCCUGUAGGUGACACUGUGACCCUGUAGGUGACACCAUGACCCUGUGGGUGACACUGUGACCCUGUAGGUGACACUGUGACCCCAUGGGUGACACCAUGACCCCAUAGGUGACACCACAUCCCUGUGGGUGACACUGUGACCCCAUGGGUGACACCACAUCCCCAUGGGUGACACUGUGACCCUGUAGGUGACACUGUGACCUCACAGGUGUCACUGUGACCCUGUGGGUGACACUGUGACCCCAUGGGUGACACUCUGACCCUGUAGGUGACACUGUGACCCCACGGGUGACACCGUGACCCCGUGGGUGACACCCUGACCCUGUAGGUGACACUGAGACCCCACAGGUGACACUGUGGCUCUGUGGGUGACACUGUGACCCUGUAGGUGACACCGUGUCCCUUUAGAUGACACUGUGACCCUGUGGGCGACACUGUGACCCCACGGGUGACCCUGUGACCCCACGGGUGACCCCACCGCCACGGAGGACACGCCCGGUCCCCGAGGGUGACACUGUGACCCCCCCCCUCCAACAACCUCCGGAGGACACCACUGUGUCCCCUCCCCCCCUUGGUGG